UUAGGUUACGGGGAUAUGUACCCCAUGACCUGGUCCGGGAUGCUCGUAGGGGCUUUAUGUGCCCUUGCCGGCGUCCUCACCAUCGCCAUGCCCGUCCCCGUCAUCGUCAACAAC
Non-coding RNA from Mesitornis unicolor (brown roatelo), 114 nucleotides. The record is from Rfam. NCBI's taxonomy places the organism in Eukaryota, Metazoa, Chordata, Aves, Mesitornithiformes, Mesitornithidae.